AGAUUGUUAUGAUGAUAUUUACAUGCACCACGCUUAAUAGCUUUUCAAGCAGUGUGUCGAUUAUGUAUUUCUGAACAUUU
Molecule: small nucleolar RNA, 80 nt
Filed under: Entamoeba invadens IP1
Lineage: Eukaryota; Evosea; Mastigamoebida; Endamoebidae
Description: Small nucleolar RNA Me18S-Gm1358
Rfam family: Small nucleolar RNA Me18S-Gm1358
About the family: Me18S-Gm1358 is a member of the C/D class of snoRNA which contain the C (UGAUGA) and D (CUGA) box motifs. This family directs 2'-O-methylation of 18S G-1358.
Source: Rfam by way of RNAcentral